GGGGAAUUUUCCGCAAUGGGCGCAAGCCUGACAGUGCGACGCCGCGUGAAGGAAGAAGGCCACUUUCGGUCGUAAACUUCUUUGCACGGGCACAGGAAGACUGACCGCCCGGGAAGCAAGUAUCGGCUAACUCCGUGCCAGCAGCCGCGGUAAGACGGGGGAUGCAAGCGUUAUCCGGAUUUAUUGGGCGUAAAGCGUCUGUAGGUGGUUUGGUGUGUCUGCUGUCCAAACGCAGGGCUUAACUCUGUGGGGCAUGUGGAGACUAUCAGACUGGAGGCCGGUAGAGGUGGGGGGAAUCCCUCGAGGAGCAGUGAAAUGCUUAGAUACGUGGGAGAAGGCCGGAGGCGAAAGCUCCCCACUGGGCCGCGCCUGACACUGAGAGACGAAAGCUAGGGGAGCGAAAGGGAUUAGAUACCCCUGUAGUC
Molecule: ribosomal RNA, 425 nt
Filed under: uncultured cyanobacterium
Lineage: Bacteria; Bacillati; Cyanobacteriota
Description: bacterial SSU rRNA
Rfam family: Bacterial small subunit ribosomal RNA
Source: RNAcentral